RNAcentral lists this long non-coding RNA (494 nucleotides) under Vigna radiata. RNAcentral's name for it is "long non-coding RNA (VRAD_LNC005228)". Lineage: Eukaryota; Viridiplantae; Streptophyta; Magnoliopsida; Fabales; Fabaceae. The record is from RNAcentral.
AUCCACUAAGCAAAAAUGUACUCAUGAAAUUUAACAAUUCAUACCAAGCAAGUGUUUCACUCAAUCACUCAAGUGUUUAAGGUGACACUCCAACUCUCUAUUGUUCACAAGUCACAUGAAACAAAAUUGCCAUUCAUCUCAAACAAUCAACAUCUUUACAUGCAAAUGCCAUCAAAAGGACUUUCCCAAGGCUUGUAAUGAGGUUGGGCUAACAAGAAAGAAUUCGUUUUUCUAGAAUGCAAAAUCCUUGAAUCAAGAAAGCUAACAAAAUAUUCAAUAUUUAAGAACCACUCUCACCAAUGUCUCUCAUUCCCAAUUUUUCCCUUUUCUUUUUCUUUUGCAUUGAGCUCUUCUUCAUGAUUUUCUUCUUUUCUUUUCUCUUUUUCUCAUGAAUUUUCUCUUUUCACAACAGUUGAGCUCAAUGCCUUUCACUUGCUUUUUCAAUUUUCCGUACAACCCCAAACUUGAACCUUUUCAUCACAUACAAGUUAGCU